Molecule: ribosomal RNA, 510 nt
Filed under: uncultured bacterium
Lineage: Bacteria
Description: partial 16S ribosomal RNA
Rfam family: Bacterial small subunit ribosomal RNA
Source: RNAcentral
GACGAACGCUGGCGGCGUGCUUAACACAUGCAAGUCGAACGAAGAGCGAUGGAAGCUUGCUUCUAUCAAUCUUAGUGGCGAACGGGUGAGUAACGCGUAAUCAACCUGCCCUUCAGAGGGGGACAACAGUUGGAAACGACUGCUAAUGCCGCAUACGAUCUGACCUCGGCAUCGAGGAUAGAUGAAAGGUGGCCUCUAUUUAUAAGCUAUCACUGAAGGAGGGGAUUGCGUCUGAUUAGCUAGUUGGAGGGGUAACGGCCCACCAAGGCGAUGAUCAGUAGCCGGUCUGAGAGGAUGGACGGCCACAUUGGGACUGAGACACGGCCCAGACUCCUACGGGAGGCAGCAGUGGGGAAUCUUCCGCAAUGGACGAGAGUCUGACGGAGCAACGCCGCGUGAGUGAUGACGGCCGUCGGGUUGUAAAGCUCUGUUAAUCGGGACGAAAGGCCUUCUUGCGAAUAGUUAGAAGGAUUGACGGUACCGGAAAAGAAAGCCACGGCUAACUACGUG